Molecule: long non-coding RNA, 772 nt
Filed under: Vitis vinifera (wine grape)
Lineage: Eukaryota; Viridiplantae; Streptophyta; Magnoliopsida; Vitales; Vitaceae
Description: long non-coding RNA (VVIN_LNC003565)
Source: RNAcentral
CACUAAUCAAAGAGUGAGAAUCCCAUAUCGUCAUCACUCUCUUCCUUCUCUUCCUUUUUCUCCUCAGCUGGAGGUGCAUCAGCUGCCGGUGCCCCUCCCCCAGAAGGUGCUGCUGCAGCAGCUCCACCACCACCAAAGAAGCCGCCGCCUCCACCGCCACCAACAAUCACCUGCAUCACAUAAAUUCAUACAUCAUAUAUAAUACAAAACCCAAGCCUACACUCUUAGCUUCAAUAACAUGCAAACAUCUUCUGCUGAAACAAAAUCAAGCAGAACAAAACCCUAAUCACAGAAGGUCCAAUACAUGGGUCCAGACCACUCCAGUGGCCCACAGCAUCUUCUGCAUCAUAUUAACGUUCAAUAACAAUACAACAUCGAAUUGGAAUUAAAAUAGCCCAACCACCAAUCAGAUUAUUACAAACUUGUUAAUCAACUACACAGAGUGUGCUUUCCAGGUUAAAAGCAAGAACUAAAAAUAAUACCCACAUGAGAUUUGCAUCACAAAUAUGAUUUUCCUGCUCCAACCCAUUUAAAUCCUCACUCACGAAAACAACAAACAUCCAUUUUAUGAAAUCUGAAUACACCAAGCAAUCCACCAACCCCAAUUGGAUUAAUGGUUGAGUCACCAGAAUAAAGGAUGGAAGCAUAUAUUUACUGAUCUAAACUAUUUUUUGGCACUCUUAUUGACCAUGUUGGUAACAAUUGUCCAAUGCCAUGCAGCUACCAAAUUGAAAGCAGAACAGAAUGAAUAUUGGGAAACAUGACAUCAAAA